This is a long non-coding RNA of Lycium ferocissimum, 1129 nucleotides long. RefSeq lists it as uncharacterized. The record is from RefSeq and is a predicted model, not a curated record. The transcript has 3 exons. NCBI's taxonomy places the organism in Eukaryota, Viridiplantae, Streptophyta, Magnoliopsida, Solanales, Solanaceae.
AGAUCAAUAAGAUCAUCGACCCCUCCUUCAUCUUACUCCACAAGACAAGGCUCGAAAAUAUAUGCAUGAGCAACAAUGGUGUAGCAUAGAAGCUGGGAUAAUCCAAAUCAGGAGUAGAAAAAAAUAAAACAAUCAAUACCAUAAGUAUAAUACGAGCCCUUGUGGACAAGACCACUAGAUCUAAACGGCGAACCCUUGCAGAUAAGAUUGCUAGAUUGAAUCAGUGAGCCCUCGCAAAUAAGACUGUUGAACCAAAUCAAUGGGCCCUUAUAGAUAAGAAUGCUAGAUUAAAUCAAUGGGCCCUUGCAAGUAAGACUGCUAGACCAAAUUAAUAGACCCUUGUAGAUAAAACACAGAGUUUGUAGGAACUAGGGUUCUGAAAGGAGAGAAGAGGUUCCAAUGCCAGAACAAAGAGAGCGUGGGAACAAGAGGAGAUAUGUUGGUGUUAUCGAUUUGCUGUAGCCUGUCGUAUGCGUCUUUGCUCAAUUCUUCCAAUUCAUGCGCUGCACACUGAAAAGUGAUGCAGUUUCAGGGAGAAAUUUGAUAAAUGAGGGUGAAGUUAUUGAAGAAUGUCUUAGCCUUGGAAAGUAUGCUAUGGAGCUAAGCUCUGCAGCUUUUAGAAGCAUCUGGCGCUUUAAUACAGAGGCGGCUUGCAAAUUUAAUCCGGAGAACGGCUGUGGAGGAUCCAUCUAUUCCUUCCAGGAUGAAACUUGUGAUUGACGACCGCUCUUGUGCAGCUGACAGCCAUAUCACGUUUUAUAAUCAGGUUGGUUAUUGAAUUGAAUCAUUCUUUGCUCUCUAUGCUAAUUACUUUCUUGAAUUGUAUAGUUUAAAAGAUACUAUAAUUUAGCUGAUUCCAAGACGAAGAUAACUUAAUCCACUAAAUUAUAGUUACUUACCUCAUGAUGCCUCUAAAUUGUUUUCAAAGCAUUCUGUUAUAAGUGUGCGUCUUAUUGUUAGAAGUCACAAUUCGAUUUUGCUCCUCUUCAUGUUGUACAACAAUUGUAUGUAAGAUACCUGUGUCCUUUCAUUUCUUAACCUAUAUUACAGGCCAUCUGUAGAGUCCAAAAAACAAUAACACAAAAGGUACAUGGAGUGUGCUGCAUAUCUACCUUAAAAACACUUCUUU